Molecule: long non-coding RNA, 1404 nt
Filed under: Salmo salar (Atlantic salmon)
Lineage: Eukaryota; Metazoa; Chordata; Actinopteri; Salmoniformes; Salmonidae
Description: lncRNA (ENSSSAG00000095655.1)
Source: RNAcentral
GUGGUUGAUAUUCUCGAAAACCUGACCCUAGGCAACAGUGACUAAGGUCUGGUUUCAGUGACGGACUCUUUUGUCAACUCUGAUGAGGACAAAAAAUAAUAUUCAGGAGUGGGUCCUCUUCAGACACUACCCCAACAAAUCAUGAGGCAGACAUGCCAGAACGUCGCGAUUCGAAACCAAAGUGGUGGUUUUAGUGAAGGUUACAGUCUCUACAUCACUAUGCUUCCUGCUGACUGGACUCUUCAGAGAUGAGUAUGAACCUGGACCGCGUCCCAAAUGGCAUCCAAUCUCUACAUAGUGCACUACUUUUGUCAUAUGCGCUGAAUACAACAGAUUUCAUUAUGAAGGCACCGGUGGUUCUGCAUUUGUAUCCAUCUGGAAUCCAGGAGAUGAAAUGGAGCAGGAAGUUCCUCAGUGUCCAAAUCACGAAGGACUUAAAAUGGACCACUCACACAUGCACAGUCGGGAAGAAGGCGCAACCUCUAUAUCAGGCGGAGUGAAAGGAAGGCCCGGACUCCAGCCACCCAAUCGAUAGAUUGUUCUUUCUGCUUCCGCACGGCACGCGGUAGCAGUGCAACAAGUCUGACACCAACAGGCUCCUGAACAACUUCUAUCCUUAAUCCAUAAGACCGCGCUAAAUAGCUCGCACAAUUGCUACACAGACUGAGUUUACCCUUGUAUUUUAUUUUAAUCUCUAUGCACACUCACAGGACUCUACACGCUCACGCACACUGACACUCCUACACACACAUAACAUGCACACACAUUUAUACUGACUCUACACACGCACACACACUCACAUACAAUCAGAAUUUAUGCUGCUGCUACUCUUUUUAUCAUAUACUGUCACGUCCUGACCAUAGUAAGAUGUGACUUUCUAUGGUAGAGUAGGUCAGGGCGUGACAGGGGGUGUUUUGUGUUUUUCUAUUUUUUCUAUUUCUGUGUUGUUGUUUUUUUGGGUUGAUCUCCAAUUGGAGGCAGCUGGUCCUCGUUACCUCUGAUUGGAGAUCAUAUUUAAGUAGGGGUUUUUCUUCCUGGGUUUUGUGGGUGAUUAUAUUUUGAGUAGUGUUUGUUUCUCUCUGCGUCACGGUUUGUUGUUUUGUCAAGUCAGUUAUUUAUGUUUUUGCAAAGUUUCACGGAUUUAAUAAAAUGUGGAACUACAACCACGCUGCACUUUGGUCCGCUCCUUUUGACAGCCGUGACACAAUCACCCACCACAAAAGGACCAAGCAGCGUGCCCAGGAGGAGCAGGGAUCCUGGGCUCGGGAGAAGAGAGAAUGGAGGACGUCCUGGACCUGGGAGGAGGUAAUGGCAGGGGACAAGACCCUGCCAUGGAAGUAGGUGGAAACGGCGCAAGCGGAACGGCGAUGCUAUGAGGAGCUAGCCCAACGACGGAAGCCCGAG